UUUCCGUAGGUGAACCUGCGGAAGGAUCAUUAUUGAAUAAACCUGAUGUGGUUGUAGCUGGCCCUUUCGGGAGCAUGUGCACACCCGUCGUCUUUAUCUUUCCACCUGUGCACCUUUUGUAGACCUGGAUGUAACACUUCCGAGGCAACUCGGUCGGGAGGAAUGCUGUCAGCUUUCCUUGAAUGUCCAGGCCUAUGUUUUCAUAUACCCCAAAGAAUGUAACAGAAUGUAUUAUUGGGCCUUGUGCCUAUAAACUAUAUACAACUUUCAGCAACGGAUCUCUUGGCUCUC
Molecule: unclassified non-coding RNA, 291 nt
Filed under: plant metagenome
Description: partial contains small subunit ribosomal RNA, internal transcribed spacer 1, and 5.8S ribosomal RNA
Source: RNAcentral